GAUGAACGCUGGCGGCGUGCCUAAUACAUGCAAGUAGAACGCUGAAGGAGGAGCUUGCUCUUCUGGAUGAGUUGCGAACGGGUGAGUAACGCGUAGGUAACCUGCCUGGUAGCGGGGGAUAACUAUUGGAAACGAUAGCUAAUACCGCAUGACAACAGUUAUUGCAUGAUAACUGUUUAAAAGGGGCAACUGCUCCACUACCAGAUGGACCUGCGUUGUAUUAGCUAGUUGGUGAGGUAACGGCUCACCAAGGCGACGAUACAUAGCCGACCUGAGAGGGGGAUCGGCCACCCCGGGACUUGGGACAGGCCCCGACUCCUACGGGAGGGAGCAGUAGGGAAUCUUCGGGAAAUGACGGGAGUCUGGACGAGGAACGGCGGGUGAGUGAAGAAGGUUUUCGGAUCGUAAAGCUCUGUUGUAAGAGAAGAACGAGUGUGAGAGUGGAAAGUUCACACUGUGACGGUAUCUUACCAGAAAGGGACGGCUAACUACGUG
This 495-nucleotide ribosomal RNA is filed under the name uncultured bacterium. RNAcentral describes it as "partial 16S ribosomal RNA". It matches the Rfam family "Bacterial small subunit ribosomal RNA", at positions 28 to 507 of the family's 1533-position model. The record is from RNAcentral.